AUGAGAUUAAGCCAUGCAUGUCUAAGUACAUGCCGUAUUAAGGCGAAACCGCGAAUGGCUCAUUAAAUCAGUUAUGGUUCCUUGGAUCGUACCUUACUACUUGGAUAACUGUGGCAAUUCUAGAGCUAAUACAUGCAGCAGAGCUCCGACCUUCGGGGACGAGCGCUUUUAUUAGACCAAAACCAAUCGGACCUCGUGUCCGUACUUUGUGGUGACUCUGUAUAACUUUGGGCUGAUCGCACGGGCCCGUCCCGGCGACGUAUCUUUCAAGUGUCUGCCUUAUCAACUUUCGAUGGUAGGUUACGCGCCUACCAUGGUCGUAACGGGUAACGGGGAAUCAGGGUUCGAUUCCGGAGAGGGAGCCUGAGAAACGGCUACCACAUCCAAGGAAGGCAGCAGGCGCGCAAAUUACCCACUCCCAGAACGGGGAGGUAGUGACGAAAAAUAACAAUACGGGACUCUUUUGAGACCCCGUAAUUGGAAUGAGUACACUCUAAAUCCUUUAACGAGGAUCCAUUGGAGGGCAAGUCUGGUGCCAGCAGCUGCGGUAAUUCCAGCUCCAAUAGCGUAUAUUAAAGUUGUUGCGGUUAAAAAGCUCGUAGUUGGAUCUCAGUUCCAGACGGGUGGUCCGCCUACCGGUGGUUACUGCCUGUUCUGAACAGCCAGCCGGUUUCUCUUGAUGAUCUUCACCGGUUGUCUUGGGUGACCGGCAAGUUUACUUUGAAAAAAUUAGAGUGCUCAAAGCAGGCGUGACGCCUGAAUAAUGGUGCAUGGAAUAAUGGAAUAGGACCUCGGUUCUAUUUUGUUGGUUUUCGGAACACGAGGUAAUGAUUAAGAGGGACAGACGGGGGCAUUCGUAUUGCGACGCUAGAGGUGAAAUUCUGGACCGUCGCAGACGACUACUGCGA
This 908-nucleotide ribosomal RNA is filed under the name Xysticus sicus. RNAcentral's name for it is "SSU rRNA". It matches the Rfam family "Eukaryotic small subunit ribosomal RNA", at positions 38 to 948 of the family's 1831-position model. The record is from RNAcentral. Lineage: Eukaryota; Metazoa; Arthropoda; Arachnida; Araneae; Thomisidae.